GAUGAACGCUGGCGGCGUGCCUAAUACAUGCAAGUCGAGCGAACGGACGAGAAGCUUGCUUCUCUGAUGUUAGCGGCGGACGGGUGAGUAACACGUGGAUAACCUACCUAUAAGACUGGGAUAACUUCGGGAAACCGGAGCUAAUACCGGAUAAUAUUUUGAACCGCAUGGUUCAAAAGUGAAAGACGGUCUUGCUGUCACUUAUAGAUGGAUCCGCGCUGCAUUAGCUAGUUGGUAAGGUAACGGCUUACCAAGGCAACGAUGCAUAGCCGACCUGAGAGGGGGAUAGGCCACACUGGAACUGAGACACGGUCCAGACUCCUACGGGAGGCAGCAGUCGGGAAUCUUCCGCAAUGGGCGAAAGCCUGACGGAGCAACGCCGCGUGAGUGAUGAAGGUCUUCGGAUCGUAAAACUCUGUUAUUAGGGAAGAACAUAUGUGUAAGUAACUGUGCACAUCUUGACGGUACCUAAUCAGAAAGCCACGGCUAACUACGUG
This 497-nucleotide ribosomal RNA is filed under the name uncultured bacterium. RNAcentral describes it as "partial 16S ribosomal RNA". It matches the Rfam family "Bacterial small subunit ribosomal RNA", at positions 28 to 507 of the family's 1533-position model. The record is from RNAcentral.